This 255-nucleotide ribosomal RNA is filed under the name uncultured bacterium. RNAcentral's name for it is "partial 16S ribosomal RNA". It matches the Rfam family "Bacterial small subunit ribosomal RNA", at positions 57 to 305 of the family's 1533-position model. The record is from RNAcentral.
GCAAGUCGAACGGUAACAGUAAUAAUUUUGGUUGUUAGCUGACGAGUGGCGCACGGGUGAGUAACGCGUACACAAUCUACCCAUUACAGGGGGAUAGCCUCGGGAAACUGAGAAUAAUACCCCAUAGUAUUACGGAAUCGCAUGAUUUUGUAAUUAAAGUUACGGCGGUAGUGGAUGAGUGUGCGUUCUAUUAGGUAGUUGGUAAGGUAACGGCUUACCAAGCCGAUGAUAGGUAGGGGGCGUGAGAGCGUGACC